AUGAAUUGGACUGAUGAGGCAACAAAGUUGAUGCAUGCUUGGGACAUUAGGUCUGAUGUUAUACCAAGUCCAGUAACAUAUCUAAUUGGCCGUCUUUUGUUGCCUCUCAGUACCAAACCACAGACUCAUGUCGAUCCCUUCUACAAUUCAGUUAGUCACUGUAAAGUGUCUUCUGUUUCUACAGGUACACAAGUCGGUGUAGUCACACAUUAUCUUCAAUUUCUGUUGUCCAUAUUGCGGCUCUUGGCCAUUGUUAGCAUCAUCAACACUGUGCACCAACGACAAGAGCCCAGUGGUGAACGAGGCCAAGAGAAUCCUGAGAACCUGUAG
Molecule: ribosomal RNA, 330 nt
Filed under: Triticum aestivum (bread wheat)
Lineage: Eukaryota; Viridiplantae; Streptophyta; Magnoliopsida; Poales; Poaceae
Description: partial small subunit ribosomal RNA
Source: RNAcentral